GAUCAAAUUGGACGGAUUGCCGUUGGAACAUCAACUAAUGGAGCCACAUUCAAGAUUCCUGGAAGGGUUGGUGAUGGACCUAUAGCAGGGUCUUCAGCAUAUGCGGAUGCUGAAGUUGGUGCUUGUGGAGCCACUGGGGAUGGUGAUAUUAUGAUGCGCUUCCUUCCGUGUUAUCAGGCUGUGGAGAAUAUGAGAUUGGGAAUGGAACCGAAACUUGCCGCAAAAGAUGCUAUAUCGCGAAUUGCAAGGAAAUAUCCAAACUUCAUUGGCGCUCUAUUUGCAGUCAACAGAAAUGGGACUCAUGCAGGUGCAUGCCAUGGUUGGACUUUUCAGUACUGUGUCAGAACUCCUGGGAUGAACGAUGUUGAGGUCUUUACUGUUCACCCUCAGUGAUCCAUCCCUUUAGCAUUCCCAGUUUCUAUUGAAGUUCUUCCUCUUCCAUAAAGCAGCAUGCAUAGUCUCUUUCACAUGUUGCUAGAAUUGAUGAUAUCCUUCCAUAUUGUGAACCAUAAAAAUUUUCUUUAAUACAGCAAGUUCAAAUUUGACUAUUUGAGUAUCUGCAUUAAUGACAAUUGAC
This 577-nucleotide unclassified non-coding RNA is filed under the name Hevea brasiliensis (rubber tree). The record is from RNAcentral. Lineage: Eukaryota; Viridiplantae; Streptophyta; Magnoliopsida; Malpighiales; Euphorbiaceae.